GACGAACCGUGCAAACGUUAUUCGGAUUCACUGGGCUUAAAGGGCGCGUAGGCGGGUGAUCAAGUCAGGGGUGAAAUCCUCCAGCUUAACUGGAGCAGUGCCUUUGAUACUGGUCGUCUUGAGGGAGGUAGGGGCAUGUGGAACUUCCGGUGGAGCGGUGAAAUGCGUAGAUAUCGGAAGGAACGCCGGUGGCGAAAGCGACGUGCUGGAUCUCUUCUGACGCUGAGGCGCGAAAGCCAGGGUAGCGAAC
This 250-nucleotide ribosomal RNA is filed under the name uncultured bacterium. Its description in RNAcentral is "partial 16S ribosomal RNA". It matches the Rfam family "Bacterial small subunit ribosomal RNA", at positions 524 to 773 of the family's 1533-position model. The record is from RNAcentral. RNAcentral also lists the same sequence under 1 other name.